CAGUAGCCGCGGGAAUACGUAGGUGGCAAGCGUUGUCCGGAAUUAUUGGGCGUAAAGCGCGCGCAGGCGGCCUAUCCAGUCUGUCUUAAAAGUUCGGGGCUCAACCCCGUGAUGGGAUGGAAACUAGUAGGCUAGAGUAUCGGAGAGGAAAGCGGAAUUCCUAGUGUAGCGGUGAAAUGCGUAGAUAUUAGGAAGAACACCAGUGGCGAAGGCGACUUUCUGGACGAAAACUGACGCUGAGGCGCGAAAGCCAGGGGAGCGAACGGGAUUAGAUACCCCAGUAGUCCCUGUCUCUUAUACA
This 301-nucleotide ribosomal RNA is filed under the name uncultured bacterium. RNAcentral describes it as "partial 16S ribosomal RNA". It matches the Rfam family "Bacterial small subunit ribosomal RNA", at positions 509 to 809 of the family's 1533-position model. The record is from RNAcentral.